GGGCCCGCACAAGCGGAGGAACAUGUGGUUUAAUUCGAUGAUACGCGAGGAACCUUACCCGGGCUCGAACGGCUUAGUGAUAUACAAGAGAUUGUAUAGCUAUUUAUAGACUAAGUCGAGGUGCUGCAUGGUUGUCGUCAGCUCGUGCCGUGAGGUGUCGGCUUAAGUGCCAUAACGAGCGCAACCCUUGUCGUUAGUUGCCAUCAGGUGAAGCUGGGGACUCUAGCGAGACUGUCACCGUAAGGUGUGAGGAAGGGGGGAUGACGUCAAAUCAGCACGGCCCUUACGUCCGGGGCGACACACGUGUUACAAUGGGUGAUACAGAGGGCUGCUACUGGGUGACCAGAUGCUAAUCUCGAAAAUCACUCUCAGUUCGGAUCGGAGUCUGCAACUCGACUCCGUGAAGUUGGAUUCGCUAGUAAUCGCGCAUCAGCCAUGGCG
This 441-nucleotide ribosomal RNA is filed under the name uncultured Bacteroidota bacterium. RNAcentral describes it as "bacterial SSU rRNA". It matches the Rfam family "Bacterial small subunit ribosomal RNA", at positions 917 to 1359 of the family's 1533-position model. Lineage: Bacteria; Pseudomonadati; Bacteroidota. The record is from RNAcentral.